UCCAUCUGAGACUGAAGCAUAUACUAAUUGGGAUGAAACAGAAAAGAUGAGCAUGGCACCUAUGCAAAGAUGACACACAAAUUCAUGGUGCAGUCCACUUUUUU
Molecule: small nuclear RNA, 104 nt
Organism: Phodopus roborovskii (desert hamster)
Lineage: Eukaryota; Metazoa; Chordata; Mammalia; Rodentia; Cricetidae
Source: RefSeq, a predicted model, not a curated record